AGUAAUGAAUAGGAAUCUGCCUAGUAGUGGGGGACAACGUGGUGAAAACCACGCUAAUACCGCAUACGCCCUACGGGGGAAAACGGAGGAUCUUCGGACUUCGUGCUAUUAGAUGAGCCUAUUUCUGAUUAGCUUGUUGGUGAGGUAAUGGCUCACCAAGGCGACGAUCAGUAGCUGGUUUGAGAGAAUGAUCAGCCACACUGGGACUGAGACACGGCCCAG
This 222-nucleotide ribosomal RNA is filed under the name uncultured bacterium. Its description in RNAcentral is "partial 16S ribosomal RNA". It matches the Rfam family "Bacterial small subunit ribosomal RNA", at positions 109 to 334 of the family's 1533-position model. The record is from RNAcentral.